Molecule: long non-coding RNA, 276 nt
Filed under: Eucalyptus grandis
Lineage: Eukaryota; Viridiplantae; Streptophyta; Magnoliopsida; Myrtales; Myrtaceae
Description: long non-coding RNA (EGRA_LNC007120)
Source: RNAcentral
UGGGAUAUUCUUAAGAAAUUUUGCACAAAAGGAGUCGCCACUAGCCUAUUGGGGUCGGCUAGAAACCAAGCGAGGCAUGGGAGUGUACCUCACUUCCUACGCAACCAGAGAAUCUAAGUUCAGGGACUUGAUUACACUAAUUAACCAAUUAGUGCCCUUUCGGUACCUAAUCUUAUUCAUUUUAACAAAAUGAUUUUUGGCAAGCAGUUUGAAUUAAUUUUAUACUUAUCCACUAACAUGUGAGGUGAUCAUGCAGGUGCGCAAUCAUUAAAGUAA